UAAGACCUCGCGUUAUUGGAGCGGCCGAUAUCUGGUUAGCUAGUUGGUGGGGUAAGAGCCUACCAAGGCGACGAUCAGUAGCUGGUCUGAGAGGACGACCAGCCACACUGGGACUGAGACACGGCCCAGACUCCUACGGGAGGCAGCAGUGGGGAAUUUUGGACAAUGGGCGAAAGCCUGAUCCAGCCAUGCCGCGUGAGUGAAGAAGGCCUUCGGGUUGUAAAGCUCUUUCGCAAGGAAAGAAAUCCUAUCCACUAAUACUGGGUGGGGAUGACGGUACCUUGAUAAGAAGCACCGGCUAACUACGUGCCAGCAGCCGCGGUAAUACGUAGGGUGCGAGCGUUAAUCGGAAUUACUGGGCGUAAAGCGAGCGCAGGCGGUUUUGUAAGUCAGAUGUGAAAUCCCCGGGCUCAACCUGGGAACU
RNAcentral lists this ribosomal RNA (424 nucleotides) under uncultured bacterium. RNAcentral's name for it is "bacterial SSU rRNA". It matches the Rfam family "Bacterial small subunit ribosomal RNA", at positions 202 to 622 of the family's 1533-position model. The record is from RNAcentral.